Molecule: long non-coding RNA, 435 nt
Filed under: Homo sapiens (human)
Lineage: Eukaryota; Metazoa; Chordata; Mammalia; Primates; Hominidae
Description: novel transcript
Source: RNAcentral
UUGCCAAGUUUUUCAGGAAGUGCUAGUGGCCAUUUUGAUGAUGUGAACUAGAUUUUAAAACAGAAAGAGGAAAAAUGAAUGUGGUGGACAAGGGCUGCUGACAAUAUUAGAUAGAAUCAGAGAUGGAGUCUCACUAUGUUGCCCAGUCUGGACUUGAAGUCUUGGCCUCAAGCAAACCCCCUUGCGUCAGCCUCUGAAAGUGCUGGGAUUACAGGCAUGAGCUACCGUGCUUGCCUUCUCCUCCUUCUCCUUCUCCUUCUUCUCCUCCUCCUCCUCCUUCUCCUUCUUCUUCAUUGUUAAUUUUAGGUGCAGCAAUUCCAUCCAGGGGAUAAAAGAUUUAUUUAUUUUAUUUUAUCAUUUUUUAAAAUUUAUUUUUUCGAGAUGGAGUCUCGCUCUGUCUCCCAGGCUGGAGUGCAGUGGUACGAUCUCGGCUCA